RNAcentral lists this transfer RNA (82 nucleotides) under Kluyveromyces dobzhanskii CBS 2104. RNAcentral describes it as "tRNA-Leu". It matches the Rfam family "tRNA". Rfam says of the family: Transfer RNA (tRNA) molecules are approximately 80 nucleotides in length. Their secondary structure includes four short double-helical elements and three loops (D, anti-codon, and T loops). The record is from RNAcentral. Lineage: Eukaryota; Fungi; Ascomycota; Saccharomycetes; Saccharomycetales; Saccharomycetaceae.
GGCACUGUGGCCGAGUGGUUUAAGGCGCCAGGUCGAGGUCCUGGUAUCUCCGGAUGCGCGAGUUCGAAUCCCGCCGGUGUCA